UUAUUUGAGAAGAUUUCAUUC
RNAcentral lists this non-coding RNA (21 nucleotides) under Caenorhabditis elegans. Lineage: Eukaryota; Metazoa; Nematoda; Chromadorea; Rhabditida; Rhabditidae. The record is from RNAcentral.